RNAcentral lists this ribosomal RNA (206 nucleotides) under Salmonella enterica subsp. enterica serovar Derby. RNAcentral's name for it is "partial 23S ribosomal RNA". It matches the Rfam family "Bacterial large subunit ribosomal RNA", at positions 454 to 657 of the family's 2925-position model. The record is from RNAcentral. Lineage: Bacteria; Pseudomonadati; Pseudomonadota; Gammaproteobacteria; Enterobacterales; Enterobacteriaceae.
CAUCCUCCAAGGCUAAAUACUCCUGACUGACCGAUAGUGAACCAGUACCGUGAGGGAAAGGCGAAAAGAACCCCGGCGAGGGGAGUGAAAAAGAACCUGAAACCGUGUACGUACAAGCAGUGGGAGCACAGGUUUACCUGUGUGACUGCGUACCUUUUGUAUAAUGGGUCAGCGACUUAUAUUCUGUAGCAAGGUUAACCGUUGAA